AUGAUGAGUGAGAGAGCUCCCAUGGACACUGCAGCCUUGGCACCUUAUGCAUUCAGCACAACAUGCAGAUCCUUGAACCCCGAAUCAGUUUCAUGUACCUGUUCCACCUUGGCAGCUUCUCUUCUGCUCUCUCCACUCACCAUCUCUUGUGUCCAUCCAGAGGGAAGUCCACAGAGAAAUGCACACCUGCAGUCUCAUAAAGCACAAGACGUUGUCAUCAGAGAUCUCCUGGAAUCAAAAAUAAGAAAUGAGAAGAAGCUCAGAGACAAGCAUGAUAUCCCCAAAGCCUUUUUUCUGCCUCCGAGUGACAAACUGAAAAGGCUGUUCCCAUUUGCAGAGAAGACCUUCACUUUAGAAUGAAUGCAGAUGCACUUCAAGGGCCUUUUCCCAAAGAAGCUCUGCAGCUCCCGGGAGAUGCCUUUUGACAGUGGGUACGAAGUCUGGGAGCGCUCCUUACCCCCCACAGCUGUCCCAGCGAGCAGCAGCAGAGCAUGCCUUGGUCGGGCUCCCCUUCCCUUCACUUGCUGCAACCAGGUAAAUUCAGCAUUAGCUCGUCCUUGAGGGAUCGAGGAGUUCCUAAAACUUUUUCUGGUUGGAAAUGUGCUCGGAUUCACAUCCUCCUCCUCCACAU
Molecule: long non-coding RNA, 631 nt
Filed under: Coturnix japonica (Japanese quail)
Lineage: Eukaryota; Metazoa; Chordata; Aves; Galliformes; Phasianidae
Description: lncRNA (ENSCJPG00005004824.1)
Source: RNAcentral